Long non-coding RNA from Cyprinus carpio (common carp), 1038 nucleotides. The record is from Ensembl. Lineage: Eukaryota; Metazoa; Chordata; Actinopteri; Cypriniformes; Cyprinidae.
GGUACUUUGAUGCAAAACAUAGUUGAUGGAGACUAUAAUUCUCUGGGAAGGAAAUGGAAACUUUUUGUGGUUUAGUGUCUCUGCAUUAUACUGUAACCUCUAACACCUUUAUGCAUGACAAACACAAUGGCGAAAGUCUUUUUCUUCUUCUGUGUAUUUUCUAAUAGGAUUAUGCCUUUCUCAUCCAAUGAUGCGUCAGUACGAGGGUCUUCUGAUCUGCUGAGAGUUCAGAUGGGAGAAAACAUCAGACUGAACUGCAGCAUGAGAAACAGAUAUGAAGUCGCCUGGUAUCGCCUCAGAUCUGGAGAACUGGAUCUACUGAUUGCAGCAGAGAAAGACAAAACGGGAAGAAAACUUCUGACGAACUACAAUAAAAACAGUGCUUUGGUGAAAAUGACUGCGGACACAUGGGUCACCAGAGCCACGCUAGAGAUUUCUAGAGUAACAGAGUCAGAUUCAGGUCUUUAUUUCUGUGGAACAAAGUCUGAUGCUCCAGAGAUGUUCUUCGACAAACCCAUCAGACUAGAGAUCGAGGGUCUCAUUGUAGUACAAGAGACAAAAGAAGUUGACAACACAGACGGGGUGACGCUGACGGAGCGUGUGCUGAUGUUUGGUGGUGUUGGUCUGGCUGUGGUUGUGUUUUUUCUGGCUACAGUCAUUGUGGGAGGAAUCAUUCACCAUCGCGGUUGGCAGAAAGGAUGGAGCGCAGCCAAACAUUCAUCUAGGAUUCAUCACAAAUCAGCUAAAUAACUUCUACUUCUGCUUCAUUUUAAUAGUCUAACUCAACAUAUCCCUGAGCUUUGCUUUGUUGUAUCAUGAAUUAAAGCAGAAAACUGUGGCUCAGAUGCUUUUCCUGUUGAUCACAUUUACUUUCACUUUAGAAAAGCUGAGAUGUUGCUGCAAAUGUUUUUUUCAGCACCAGUAAAAAUGACAAAAUCAUUAACUGUUGUUUUUAAUAUUCAGCCUUGUGCGGUUCAUUUGUGGUUGUCACAUUUAGCUAAAAAUAAAAACACUGUCAAUGCUAUUCUUUUUAAUGCA